CACGUAGGGGGCGAGCGUUGUCCGGAUUCAUUGGGCGUAAAGAGCUCGUAGGCGGCUCAGUAAGUCGGGUGUGAAACCCUCAGGCUCAACCUGGGGACGCCACUCGAUACUGCUGUGGCUAGAGUCCAGUAGAGGAGUGUGGAAUUCCCGGUGUAGCGGUGAAAUGCGCAGAUAUCGGGAGGAACACCAAUGGCGAAGGCAGCUCGCUGGGACGUUACUGACGCUGAGACGCGAAAGCGUGGGGAGCAAACAGG
RNAcentral lists this ribosomal RNA (254 nucleotides) under uncultured bacterium. Its description in RNAcentral is "partial 16S ribosomal RNA". It matches the Rfam family "Bacterial small subunit ribosomal RNA", at positions 524 to 776 of the family's 1533-position model. The record is from RNAcentral.